UGGGGAAUUUUGGACAAUGGGCGAAAGCCUGAUCCAGCAAUGCCGCGUGUGUGAAGAAGGCCUUCGGGUUGUAAAGCACUUUUGUCCGGAAAGAAAUCCUUGGCUCUAAUACAGUCGGGGGAUGACGGUACCGGAAGAAUAAGCACCGGCUAACUACGUGCCAGCAGCCGCGGUAAUACGUAGGGUGCAAGCGUUAAUCGGAAUUACUGGGCGUAAAGCGUGCGCAGGCGGUUUGCUAAGACCGAUGUGAAAUCCCCGGGCUCAACCUGGGAACUGCAUUGGUGACUGGCAGGCUAGAGUAUGGCAGAGGGGGGUAGAAUUCCACGUGUAGCAGUGAAAUGCGUAGGAGAUGUGGAGGAAUACCGAUGGCGAAGGCAGCCCCCUGGGCCAAUACUGACGCUCAUGCACGAAAGCGUGGGGAGCAAACAGGAUUAGAUACCCUGGUAGUCCACGCCCUAAACGAUGUCAACUAGUUGUUGGGGAUUCAUUUCCUUAGUAACGUAGCUAACGC
This 511-nucleotide ribosomal RNA is filed under the name uncultured bacterium. RNAcentral's name for it is "partial 16S ribosomal RNA". It matches the Rfam family "Bacterial small subunit ribosomal RNA", at positions 355 to 858 of the family's 1533-position model. The record is from RNAcentral.